RNAcentral lists this ribosomal RNA (433 nucleotides) under uncultured bacterium. Its description in RNAcentral is "partial 16S ribosomal RNA". It matches the Rfam family "Bacterial small subunit ribosomal RNA", at positions 29 to 507 of the family's 1533-position model. The record is from RNAcentral.
AGCGAACGCUGGCGGCAGGCCUAACACAUGCAAGUCGAACGAACUCUUCGGAGUUAGUGGCGGACGGGUGAGUAACACGUGGGAACGUGCCUUUUGGUUCGGAAUAACUCAGGGAAACUUGUGCUAAUACCGAAUGUGCCCUUCGGGGGAAAGAUUUAUCGCCAUUAGAGCGGCCCGCGUCUGAUUAGCUCGUUGGUGAGGUAACGGCUCACCAAGGCGACGAUCAGUAGCUGGUCUGAGAGGAUGACCAGCCACACUGGGACUGAGACACGGCCCAGACUCCUACGGGAGGCAGCAGUGGGGAAUCGUGCGCAAUGGGCGAAAGCCUGACGCAGCCAUGCCGCGUGAAUGAUGAAGGUCUUAGGAUUGUAAAAUUCUUUCACCGGGGACGAUAAUGACGGUACCCGGAGAAGAAGCCCCGGCUAACUUCGUG